This 321-nucleotide long non-coding RNA is filed under the name Lathyrus oleraceus (garden pea). RNAcentral's name for it is "Pisum sativum (pea) long non-coding RNA (PSAT_LNC004707)". The record is from RNAcentral. Lineage: Eukaryota; Viridiplantae; Streptophyta; Magnoliopsida; Fabales; Fabaceae.
AAAAUUUUGUCUUUUGCCUAUGUCUAAGUAGGGAGCAUUAUUGAAUAAAUUUGGUCUUGAAAUCUAAAGUUGGGGAGAGUAAAUUAGAAGAGUUGAUUAGAAACUUGGAAAAGUGAUGUUUUAGAAAAGGUGAAAUUGUGAAAAGAAACAAGAAAAAAAUAAGUCACCUUUGAAAUUAUGGAGCAAAGAAAAAGAAAAGAAAAAAAAACAAAGAGAAAGCUCAUGGUUGUGUGGAUGUGAAAAAUAAGAAAAGAAGAAAGAUUGGGAUCAAAGAAACGAAAAUUGUUGUUGAGUUUGAAUUUAUGGGAAUGCUCCCUUAGG